This 72-nucleotide transfer RNA is filed under the name Cricetulus griseus (Chinese hamster). It matches the Rfam family "tRNA". Rfam says of the family: Transfer RNA (tRNA) molecules are approximately 80 nucleotides in length. Their secondary structure includes four short double-helical elements and three loops (D, anti-codon, and T loops). Further hydrogen bonds mediate the characteristic L-shaped molecular structure. tRNAs have two regions of fundamental functional importance: the anti-codon, which is responsible for specific mRNA codon recognition, and the 3' end, to which the tRNAs corresponding amino acid is attached (by aminoacyl-tRNA synthetases). tRNAs cope with the degeneracy of the genetic code in two manners: having more than one tRNA (with a specific anti-codon) for a particular amino acid; and 'wobble' base-pairing, i.e. permitting non-standard base-pairing at the 3rd anti-codon position. Lineage: Eukaryota; Metazoa; Chordata; Mammalia; Rodentia; Cricetidae. The record is from Rfam by way of RNAcentral.
GGAGCUAUAGCUCAGUUAGUAGAGUACUUGCCUAAAAUGCAGAAGACCCUGGAUUUGAUCCCCAGUGUCCCA